RNAcentral lists this ribosomal RNA (299 nucleotides) under uncultured bacterium. RNAcentral describes it as "partial 16S ribosomal RNA". It matches the Rfam family "Bacterial small subunit ribosomal RNA", at positions 336 to 632 of the family's 1533-position model. The record is from RNAcentral.
UUCCUACGGGAGGCAGCAGUGAGGAAUAUUGGUCAAUGGGCGCAAGCCUGAACCAGCCAAGUCGCGUGAGGGAAGACGGCCCUACGGGUUGUAAACCUCUUUUGCCGGGGAGCAAGCCUGAGCACGUGUGCCCAGGCGGAGAGUACCCGGAGAAAAAGCAUCGGCUAACUCCGUGCCAGCAGCCGCGGUAAUACGGAGGAUGCGAGCGUUAUCCGGAUUUAUUGGGUUUAAAGGGUGCGUAUGCGGGCUUUUAAGUCAGCGGUAAAAAUUCGGUGCUCAACCCCGUCCGGCCGUUGAAA